CGAGACGCUCAUUCGGUGUGUGAUGCACACCCGGCGAGCGACCGGCGCUCCUCGCAGAGACCAAACAAAGUGACCCCUUUUGAUAAAGUGACAGUGACAGUGUGUGAAAUAGACAUGCUAAUGAGAGCAGCUGCCCCCAUGACAUAUAUUAGGAGGCGCAAUUACUGCCUUUAAUUGGAUUUCGCGCUUUUCCAGUUUCUAUACGCACGCUGAGGCUGGGCGCAUUGGGGCUGCAUGGUGGAGACAUUGGGGAGAGGGGGGGGUGGAGACGUUGGGGAGAGAGGGGGGAGGGGGUUGUUGGGAGGGGCUCUGUUCUGCAAAAUCUCAUCCGGCAGGAGCGCUGUCUUGAUCGUAGCUGCGAAUGGAGACUUGAUCUGUUCUCAUGUAAGAGGACCAUGCGUUAUACAAUCCCUGACCAAAUCUCAUCGGUGAUCCAUCGCUCUGUUCCUGCUGCAAGAUUCAGAAUGAUCAAUGCUCCCUCCAUCCGAGGUCGCUCACUGACCUCGCGCACUCUCAGAAGGGGAAGGAAUGAGAGAGAGAGAGCAAGAGAUCUGAGGAUACUCCGGAACCAGAGAGAGAGCACUUCUCCAGGCCUUGCACCAGUCCACAUCCUCGGCAGUUUGCAGUAUGGGCAGCUGCCUGUUCGGCGAGCUGAGAAAGUUCUCCAAGUCUCCAAGUCCUUCAUUGUGCAGAAGCACAGUCCUUGCUCUCAGAUCCUUCCGAGUGGCUCGGAAUUGGUGUGGAUGGUGGUUACCAAGGAAACGACCAAAUCCCUCAGCACGUCGUGUCUGGGAGAAGAGCAAAAAGGCUCAGAUAUGCCCAUGAGAGACCUUGGCCUCCACAAGACUUCGGAGCGACGAUUUGUUUGAAGCGAGCGACAGACGGAGGACACUACCAAGCUUUCCAGUCCAUCAGCUUGUUGAGUCCUGUCGAUCACGCCACAUCUGUGUAUAUCCUUUGUUUAUGUCCCCCUUUUCCCCGACCCCGUUGUGGAAUGUGGAUUACCAGACCGGUGAGUGCGAAAAUGUAAAUUUUUCGACGUAGCAAGUUUCAAUUACCAGGAUAUUAUGGACUUGCAUUUUGUGUGUACAAAUAACUUGGACACAGAAGCCGUCACACCCGUGCUUUAUCCGCAUCCCAUUAAUUUAUUCUAUCAGUUUAUUCAUAGUCUCUGAUACGAACCAGGCAUGUGUUCCAUUGGCAAGCUGCUUGCUAUCGCUUGCCAGUUGCCAGCCGUUCUGUGUCAACCGCUUUCAAGUCGCUUGGCAAGCGAUCAAGGGAUCAAGGGCUGCGGUUUGUUCCGUUAGCAAGCACCAUGCUAUCGCUUUGCUAGCCGCUCGGCAAACGGAGAAAGCGGUUGAGAGUCGCUUCGUUUUGAUAGCAAAAACGUCUGCUGCAGUCGUAAUGUUUUUAUUUGUAUUAUUGUUAUUAUUUCACAUGUAGCCUGUUGCUUGAUCGUUGCAUCAUUUUCUCGGAGCACGGCUGUGCCACUGAAGCAACCGCUUUCAACCGCCCCCUUUUCUCAGUAAGCCGGAACUCAUUUUGCCGACCUUGGAACGAUGACAGGGCGAGUCAACCCACCUGGUGUUAUUUAACGGAUGGACAGAGGCUCAAUCUCAAAACCUUAAGAUCUUAAGCCAGCCACCUUAACCGUUAAGUCAACACCAAGCUUUAGUCAUAUUAAAAAUUACACUACCAUCAAUGAAAUGUUGAGAACCAGACCCUUGUGAGGAAUACUAAUAUCAUUGAAACGUGCAUUUCAUACUUUUAUUGUGUCUACUUUUUAUCCAAAUUCUUCAAGAUCCUACCCCUCCCCCAAAAUGCACAGUGGUGGGGUCCGUAGUUCAGCUUGGAAGGGGGUUCCUCCUUCUGACUCCUCAUUUAUUUUUCUUUCUUUCCCUCUUCCUUGUACUCUGUAGCCGCUGCUAACCCAAUCAAUUGGUUUUACUAAGUUGAUCAAGAGGAUCGAGUAAAACCAUGAUAGCAUUAUUUACAUGGCGACACCCAUGUUGUUAAGCGGUGCCGAGCAAUACGUUCCGUUUGAGUGCUUGCUUGAGCGCUUUGGAUCAAGCAAGCAGCAAGCAAGCCGCUUGCUAACGGAACACACCCCCAUAUCUUUACCUUUUACUUUAGGGAAGAGUGGAGGGGGGAGAAGAAAAAGAAGGAGAACAGUGGGUGCAGGCUCAGGGAUAUCACCAGGGUGUUUAGCUCUAUUCUCCCUCCCCCCCUCACCUCCUACAGUGUAUCUAAGCCUCAGUGUAGUUUUAAACACAAAGUGCAAAGGUUUGAGCAGACAACGGACAAAUCUUAAUGGUAUAUAUGGGAUUUGAGUGUCCGAGUGCCUUGUGUUGGCUUAAUGAUUCGGGUGAUGGGCUUGGGAUCUUAGGCUCCUGAGUUCAAAUCCUGCUUUCUCGUUGAAUUAAUACCAGGUUGGGUUGACUCAGCCUGUCAUCCUUCUGAGGUCGGCAAAAUGAGUGCCAGCUUGCUGGUAUCCUGUGUCAGAGUGGCGACCUGUCCAGGAUUGUACCCAUUGAUCAAGAAGACUGCUUAGGUGGCACCAACGCUCUGCACAGAGUAUGGUCUCGAUGGAUGGAUGGAUGGAUGGAUGGAUGGUCUCUGAGUGAGUUUUCAACACGUGAGAGCAAUGUCCAUAAAGUUGAUUCCUGUAACUGCUUUUCACCUGUACAUGAAUCCUAAAUUGGACAUCUUGCAAAUUGUUGAUCCCAUUGUACCUCUAAAACAUGAGGCUGUCAUUUCGCUUGAACAAACUUUUACUUUUACUGAUCUGUCAAGGACAUGUAUGAGGGACAUUUGAGAAGUUCUCAGAACGAGAUACUCACAGUAGUUCAACAAGACAUGCCAACUUUUUGUUUUUUUUAUCUGCAAGUCUUUGAAUAAUGUAAGUGUCUCGUUCGCAAACAUUUUUGAAUCCCCACAUAUGUGUGAUACAUGUCGUGAGAGGCAAACUUUCACUUUAGUGUAACUUCUGCUUUAUACGUCACCGUCAUCAUGAGAUGAGGCAGAAAUCUCGAAUGCGAUUGGCUGUGAGUCAUCCGUGCACAUGAUGAGGUGGAGAGGAAUUGGAUGUGACGCGGUGAUGCAAUUUCUUGCUCCGUUGACUCAAUGAGCAAGGUUGGCAGGUUUGGAGGAGCACUUUGAAUCUUGAACCUUGAAUCUCAGGUUUGCGGUCGAAGUUCACGUCAAACUGGUGCCUCAUCCUAAACGUGUCAACCAUAAAACACAUGAAUAGCGAUUGAUUAUAUUCUAUAUUUUUAAAUCUAUUUUAUUGCCCUUAUUUUGUCUGAAACUUCAGAAAGCGAACCUUGCAUUUUUGUCUGUGAAUGAGCAAAAGGGCAACCAUGACGUACAGAACUUUCCUUGUCUGAAGAAGUGAUCUACUCGACGUGAUGCAUUGCCUGUACCAGCAUUAUUCAGAUCCAAUUCCUUCGGUAUAAUCGAAAUGUUAGACUCACGAAGUAAGGCACAUUCAAACCGUUCCACCAAAUUAACUAUCUUGCCGAUCAAAGCGUCUAUAAACACCAUUUGAUGAAUGCGGUUGAAUCUUCUGGAAACUCGAUCCGUUCCAUAUGGAGCAGUUCCCACAAUGUAUAACCCACAGACCAUCCAUAUAAUCUCCGGCUAUAUAGUCAGUCAACAGACUAUCUUGAUUAAGCAUGUCUGAUUGAAAUGGCAACCGCAUAUGUUGGGUGUACCCGGACCCGAGCAGCACCGGCUCGGCUCUCAUUUAUAUACGAUCGCACACUUUAUUAGCGUUGGAGCCUUGAAGGCCUGCGGGCUAAUGACAGUCCUUGCACAUUUCGCCGUCAUUAGUACAUUUAAUACGAGUCUGCCUGGAGGAAUUUGUAUUCCUCAUUAUUAAUCGAAAGGGGCUGGUGUCAGCCCCCCCCCCCC
This is a long non-coding RNA of Eptatretus burgeri (inshore hagfish), 3912 nucleotides long. The record is from Ensembl. Lineage: Eukaryota; Metazoa; Chordata; Myxini; Myxiniformes; Myxinidae.